RNAcentral lists this non-coding RNA (759 nucleotides) under Bombus pyrosoma. Lineage: Eukaryota; Metazoa; Arthropoda; Insecta; Hymenoptera; Apidae. The record is from RNAcentral.
AAUAAGUUUUAUAAUGAUUUUAAAAUUAAUUAUAUUUUUGUAUUAAUAAAUAAAUAUUUUAUAUUAAAAAUUUUAAAUAAUUUAAUGAUUAAAUUUAAAAAAUUAAUGAAAGUUAAAUUUAGAAAAAAAAAUUAACAGUGAUUAAAGUUAGUGCCAGCAAUAGCGGUUAAACUAAUAUUGUAAAUUAAUUUUUUUAAUUAAUAUUUAUAUGAAAUAAAAUUUUAAUUUAGUUAAAUUUUGGAAUUUUAAGUGAAAUUUAAUUUUAAAAUAUAUUAAAUUUUAAAAUUAUAAAAAUAAUAAGAUAACUAAAUAGACUAGGAUUAGAUACCCUAUUAUAUAAAAUAAUAAAAUAAUUUAUAAAUAAAUGUUAAAUCAUUAAAAUUAAAUUAUAUGGCGGCUUUUCAUUCUUAUUAGAGAAAUUUGUAAUUUAAUUCGAUAUCCCACGAUAAGAUAAACUUAAAUUAUUGAUUUAUGUAUUGUUGUUUGAUAUUUGUUAUAUAAAAUUUCACAAUAGCAUAUAUUUGAUAAAAUAGUAAUUCAAAUCAAAAUGUAGUAUAUUUAAGAAUAUUAUGAAUUAUAAUAAAUUUUAUUUUUGGAUAAUUAAUUUUAAUAAAUUAAUUGGAAAGUGGAUUUAAAAGUAAAAAUAAUAAAUUAAUUAUUUUGAAAGUAGUCUUGGAAAGCGUACAAAUUGCCCGUCAAUUUCAGUUAAGGAAUAAGUCGUAACACAGUAAAGAUAUUGGAAAAUGUUUUUAGAGACCU